Molecule: ribosomal RNA, 447 nt
Filed under: uncultured bacterium
Lineage: Bacteria
Description: bacterial SSU rRNA
Rfam family: Bacterial small subunit ribosomal RNA
Source: RNAcentral
UCGGGAAUUUUGGGCAAUGGGCGAAAGCCUGACCCAGCAACGCCGCGUGAAGGAUGAAGUAUUUCGGUAUGUAAACUUCGAAAGAAUAGGAAGAAUAAAUGACGGUACUAUUUAUAAGGUCCGGCUAACUACGUGCCAGCAGCCGCGGUAAUACGUAGGGACCAAGCGUUGUUCGGAUUUACUGGGCGUAAAGGGCGCGUAGGCGGCAAUUCAAGUCAUCUGUGAAAUCUCCGGGCUUAACUCGGAACGGUCAGAUGAUACUGCUUUGCUAGAGUGCAGAAGGGGCAAUCGGAAUUCUUGGUGUAGCGGUGAAAUGCGUAGAUAUCAAGAGGAACACCUGAGGUGAAGACGGGUUGCUGGGCUGACACUGACGCUGAGGCGCGAAAGCCAGGGGAGCAAACAGGAUUAGAUACCCAUGUAGUCCCUGAGCGGGCUGGCAAGGCGCAU